AAGUCGUAACAAGGUUUCCGUAGGUGAACCUGCGGAAGGAUCAUUCAUAAUAAAAGUGUUUUAUGGCACUUUUCAAACAAUCCAUAUCCACCUUGUGUGCAAUGUUUUUUAGAAAGGGGGUUCGUCUCCUUUCUUUAUAACUUAUCAACUCUUUAUUUUUAAUUGUCAAUUUGUCUGAAAUAAAAAUUAUUAUUAUGAAUAACUUAAUUCAAAAUAUAACUUUCAACAACGGAUCUCUUGGCUCUC
Molecule: unclassified non-coding RNA, 246 nt
Filed under: Entomortierella beljakovae
Lineage: Eukaryota; Fungi; Mortierellomycota; Mortierellomycetes; Mortierellales; Mortierellaceae
Description: Mortierella beljakovae partial internal transcribed spacer region
Rfam family: Eukaryotic small subunit ribosomal RNA (bases 1-46)
Source: RNAcentral